AGAGCGUACGGUGGAUGCCUUGGCACCAGGAGCCGAUGAAGGACGUAGGAGGCUGCGAUAAGCCUCGGGGAGCUGUCAACCGAGCUGUGAUCCGAGGAUGUCCGAAUGGGGAAACCCAGCACGAGUGAUGUCGUGUUACCCGCGCCUGAAUAUAUAGGGCGUGUGGAGGGAACGUGGGGAAGUGAAACAUCUCAGUACCCACAGGAAGAGAAAACAACCGUGAUUCCGUGAGUAGUGGCGAGCGAAAGCGGAAGAGGCUAAACCAUGGGUGUGUGAUAGCCGGCAGGUGUUGCAUUCGUGGGGUUGUGGGGUUCAUUUUGUCAAUACUGCCGUGUUGGCCAACAGUAAGAAAUCACAGGGUUAGUGGAAGUGGUCUGGAACGGCCUGUCGUAGAGGGUGAGAAUCCCGUACACGAAAACUUUGUGACUGUUGUAAUGGAAACCCAAGUAGCACCGGGCCCGUGAAAUCUGGUGUGAAUCUGUCGGGACCACCCGAUAAGCCUGAAUACUCCCUGGUGACCGAUAGCGGACUAGUACCGUGAGGGAAAGGUGAAAAGUACCCCGGGAGGGGAGUGAAAUAGUACCUGAAACCGUGCGCUUACAAUCCGUCAGAGCCUUCGAGCAGUUUACUGCUGGGGGUGAUGGCGUGCCUUUUGAAGAAUGAGCCUGCGAGUUAGUGGCAUGUCGCGAGGUUAACCCGUGUGGGGUAGCCGUAGCGAAAGCGAGUCCGAAUAGGGCGAGUCAGUGGCAUGCUCUAGACCCGAAGCGGAGUGAUCUACCCAUGGCCAGGUUGAAGCGACGGUAAGACGUCGUGGAGGACCGAACCCACUUAGGUUGAAAACUGAGGGGAUGAGUUGUGGGUAGGGGUGAAAGGCCAAUCAAACUCCGUGAUAGCUGGUUCUCCCCGAAAUGCAUUUAGGUGCAGCGUCGCGUGUUUCUCACCGGAGGUAGAGCUACUGGAUGGUCUAGGGGGCCCACAAGCUUACCGAAAUCAGCCAAACUCCGAAUGCCGGUGAGUGAGAGCGCGGCAGUGAGACUGCGGGCGAUAAGGUUCGUAGUCGAGAGGGAAACAGCCCAGAUCGCCAGCUAAGGUCCCUAAGCGUGUACUAAGUGGAAAAGGAUGUGGGGUCGCGAAGACAACCAGGAGGUUGGCUUAGAAGCAGCCACCCUUGAAAGAGUGCGUAAUAGCUCACUGGUCAAGUGAUCCUGCGCCGACAAUGUAGCGGGGCUCAAGUACACCACCGAAGCUGCGGCAUUCACGCAAUAGCCCCCCUUCACUCUGCGGAGUGUUGGGCAGGUGUGUGGAUGGGUAGGGGAGCGUCGUGUGGCCAUGGAAGCGGCAGGGUGACCUAGCCGUGGAGGCCACACGAGUGAGAAUGCAGGCAUGAGUAGCGAAAGACGAGUGAGAAACUCGUCCGCCGAAUGACCAAGGGUUCCUGGGCCAGGUUAAUCCGCCCAGGGUGAGUCGGGACCUAAGACGAGGCCGACAGGCGUAGCCGAUGGACAACGGGUUGAUAUUCCCGUACCCGUGUGAACGCGCCCAUGGUGAAUCAGUGAUACUAACCAUCCUGAAGCCACGAGAAGACCUUCGGGUCUCGAGUUGGUGGAUGCAUGGGACCUGAUCUGGUAGUAGCCAAGCGAUGGGGUGACGCAGGAAGGUAGCUGAGCCAGUCAGUGGUAAUACUGGUGUAAGCGUGUAGGGCGUGACCUAGGCAAAUCCGGGUCGCACAUAGCCUGAGACGUGAUGCGUAGCCGAUUGAGGCGAAUUCAGUGAUCCUAUGCUGCCGAGAAAAGCCUCUAGCGAGCUUUCACACGGCCCGUACCCCAAACCGACACAGGUGGUCAGGUAGAGAAUACUAAGGCGAUCGAGAUAACUAUGGUUAAGGAACUCGGCAAAAUGCCCCCGUAACUUCGGGAGAAGGGGGGCCCUGUCUGGUGACGACAUUUACUGUCUGAGCUGGGUGGGGCCGCAGAGACCAGUGAGAAGCGACUGUUUACUAAAAACACAGGUCCGUGCGAAGUCGUAAGACGAUGUAUACGGACUGACGCCUGCCCGGUGCUGGAAGGUUAAGAGGACCGGUUAGUUCCUUCGGGAGCGAAGCUGAGAAUUUAAGCCCCAGUAAACGGCGGUGGUAACUAUAACCAUCCUAAGGUAGCGAAAUUCCUUGUCGGGUAAGUUCCGACCUGCACGAAUGGCGUAACGACUUCUCAGCUGUCUCAACCGUAGACUCGGCGAAAUUGCAUUACGAGUAAAGAUGCUCGUUACGCGCGGCAGGACGAAAAGACCCCGGGACCUUCACUACAGCUUGGUAUUGGUGUUCGGUUCGGUUUGUGUAGGAUAGGUGGGAGACUGUGAAACGGUGACGCCAGUUAUCGUGGAGUCGUUGUUGAAAUACCACUCUGAUCGAAUUGGACCUCUAACCUCGGACCAUGAUCUGGUUCAGGGACAGUGCCUGGUGGGUAGUUUAACUGGGGCGGUUGCCUCCCAAAAUGUAACGGAGGCGCCCAAAGGUUCCCUCAGCCUGGUUGGCAAUCAGGUGUCGAGUGCAAGUGCACAAGGGAGCUUGACUGUGAGACUGACAGGUCGAGCAGGGACGAAAGUCGGGACUAGUGAUCCGGCACCGGCAAGUGGAAGCGGUGUCGCUCAACGGAUAAAAGGUACCCCGGGGAUAACAGGCUGAUCUUCCCCAAGAGUCCAUAUCGACGGGAUGGUUUGGCACCUCGAUGUCGGCUCGUCGCAUCCUGGGGCUGGAGUAGGUCCCAAGGGUUGGGCUGUUCGCCCAUUAAAGCGGCACGCGAGCUGGGUUUAGAACGUCGUGAGACAGUUCGGUCUCUAUCCGCCGCGCGCGUUAGAAACUUGAGGAAGGCUGUCCCUAGUACGAGAGGACCGGGACGGACGAACCUCUGGUGUGCCAGUUGUUCCGCCAGGAGCACCGCUGGUUAGCUACGUUCGGAAGGGAUAACCGCUGAAAGCAUCUAAGCGGGAAGCCUGUUCCAAGAUGAGGUUUCU
Molecule: ribosomal RNA, 3009 nt
Filed under: groundwater metagenome
Description: bacterial LSU rRNA
Rfam family: Bacterial large subunit ribosomal RNA
Source: RNAcentral